RNAcentral lists this ribosomal RNA (547 nucleotides) under uncultured bacterium. RNAcentral describes it as "bacterial SSU rRNA". It matches the Rfam family "Bacterial small subunit ribosomal RNA", at positions 777 to 1329 of the family's 1533-position model. The record is from RNAcentral.
AAUAGAUACCCAGGUAGUCCACGCCGUAAACGAUGAAUACUAGGUGUCGGAGGGUACCACCUUCGGUGCCGCAGCAAACGCAAUAAGUAUUCCGCCUGGGGAGUACGGUCGCAAGAUUAAAACUCAAAGGAAUUGACGGGGACCCGCACAAGCAGCGGAGCAUGUGGUUUAAUUCGAAGCAACGCGAAGAACCUUACCUAGACUUGACAUCUCCUGAAUUACUCGUAAUGGAGGAAGCCCUUCGGGGCAGGAAGACAGGUGGUGCAUGGUUGUCGUCAGCUCGUGUCGUGAGAUGUUGGGUUAAGUCCCGCAACGAGCGCAACCCUUGUUGUUAGUUGCUACCAUUAAGUUGAGCACUCUAACGAGACUGCCGCGGUUAACGCGGAGGAAGGUGGGGAUGACGUCAAAUCAUCAUGCCCCUUAUGUCUAGGGCUACACACGUGCUACAAUGGCCGGUACAGAAAGAUGCAAACCCGUGAGGGGGAGCUAAACUCAAAAGCCGGUCCCAGUUCGGAUUGUAGGCUGAAACUCGCCUACAUGAAGUUGG